This is a non-coding RNA of Vicia faba (fava bean), 222 nucleotides long. Lineage: Eukaryota; Viridiplantae; Streptophyta; Magnoliopsida; Fabales; Fabaceae. The record is from the annotation of a GenBank genome assembly.
AUGUUAAAGAAAGAGAUAAUGGAUCUGGCUAUGCAGCGGGACCUUGCCCACACUCAAAUUACGGACAUGCUUAAAGUGGUUGUAGACGAUAUGUCCUCGACUGAUAUGGUGGUGAAACUAGCAACAGGCAUUAGGGAGAGGAAUGAUUGGUUGAGUCUGGGGAGAUUGCGUGCUAUGCUUGUAUCGAGCCACGUGAUGUUAGGGAGGUGCGAUGAUGGCUAG